GGACGAACGCUGGCGGCGCGCUUAACACAUGCAAGUCGAGCGAGAACCGGGACUUCGGUCCCGGGGACAGCGGCGAACGGGUGAGUAACACGUGGGUAAUCAACCCCUGGCUCCGGGAUAGCCCGAGGAAACUCGGAUUAAUACCGGAUGGCCCUUCCGACUUUCGAGUCGGUAGGGAAAGGUAGCUUCGGCCUCUGGCCGGGGACGAGCCCGCGGCGGAUUAGCUUGUUGGUGGGGUAAUGGCCUACCAAGGCGACGAUCCGUAGCUGGUCUGAGAGGACGAUCAGCCACACUGGGACUGAGACACGGCCCAGACUCCUACGGGAGGCAGCAGUGGGAAUCUUGCGCAAUGGGCGAAAGCCUGACGCAGCGACGCCGCGUGAGGGAAGAA
Molecule: ribosomal RNA, 391 nt
Filed under: uncultured bacterium
Lineage: Bacteria
Description: bacterial SSU rRNA
Rfam family: Bacterial small subunit ribosomal RNA
Source: RNAcentral